AAACCACGUCAGUUCUUGGAAAGCUUGAAAUCCCUCGGUUGGGCAACUCAGCUGUUAGAGACGGCGCAGAUUUCCCCACUGGGUGUGGGUUUGAGCUCGUGACCUCGAGCAUCCGUCUGUCCUUUGUACAAAGCGGCCACUCCAGGGAGGAGAUGGGCAAGUGACGGUCCGGGGUUCAUGGCUGUGUGUGGUCUUGGAGCUCCCUUCUGCACUUUCCAGCUGUCCGUGUCCCCAUGCAGAUGAGAACCCUUUCCUCAAUGACACCUCAUAACCAGACAAAGCCAGAGACAUUCAAUACCAUGGCCAAGGUCACAUGGUGAAAAUAUGGUGCACGUGAGACGCAGAACAAGAACCCAACAGGUGCUCAUCGCCAUCAUGGCAGGAAACAGCAAGACAACUUGACGAGGAUUUCCUGCCACUCGCCCACUGGAACUGGAAUGGAGUGUUAAUGACACAGGAGUGCGUGAAUUUACAUGUAAUAUACACACAUACAAAUUUACCUGUAGACAGAGCAAUAUUUGAUUAUAUGAAAUGUCUACAAACAGCACAUUCUAAAAGCAGCUUUAGGAUUAUGGGUGCUUUUUUUCCUCUUAAAUGUGUUAACUUUUUUUUUUUUAAGACGGAGUCUCGCUCUGUUGCCCAGGCUGGAGUGCAGUGGCGCGAUCUCGGCUCACUGCAAGCUCCGCCUCCCGGGUUCACGCCAUUUUUCUGCCUCAGCCUCCCGAGUUAAAUGUGUUUAAAUGUGUUAAUUUUUUUCUCCACUGAACAUAAAUAAUUUGUAUAAAUUGAAAAGAAAACAAUGUUAUCUUUUGAAAAAAAGACAUAAUAAUAAAAUGAUUCCCCACUUAGUGCCU
Long non-coding RNA from Gorilla gorilla gorilla (western lowland gorilla), 854 nucleotides. RefSeq lists it as uncharacterized. NCBI's taxonomy places the organism in Eukaryota, Metazoa, Chordata, Mammalia, Primates, Hominidae. The record is from RefSeq and is a predicted model, not a curated record. The transcript is spliced from 3 exons.